AGAAGGUAGCAUAAUUAAGUGUAUCUUGUUUACACCAAGGUGGUGGUGUCUUACCUCUUCUCU
This 63-nucleotide transfer RNA is filed under the name Bankia sp. TBF03. Its description in RNAcentral is "tRNA-Val". The record is from RNAcentral. Lineage: Eukaryota; Metazoa; Mollusca; Bivalvia; Myida; Teredinidae. RNAcentral also lists the same sequence under 1 other name.